ACGGGUGUAGCUCAGCUGGUAGAGUAGUGGUCUCCAAAACCAUUGGUCGUGGGUUCGAAUCCUACCGCCCGUGCAA
RNAcentral lists this transfer RNA (76 nucleotides) under Bacteroidota bacterium. RNAcentral describes it as "Bacteroidetes bacterium tRNA-Trp". It matches the Rfam family "tRNA". From Rfam's summary of the family: Transfer RNA (tRNA) molecules are approximately 80 nucleotides in length. Their secondary structure includes four short double-helical elements and three loops (D, anti-codon, and T loops). Lineage: Bacteria; Pseudomonadati; Bacteroidota. The record is from RNAcentral. RNAcentral also lists the same sequence under 1 other name.